Gossypium raimondii (Peruvian cotton) is the source of this 2617-nucleotide RNA transcript. RefSeq lists it as uncharacterized. The transcript is spliced from 3 exons. Lineage: Eukaryota; Viridiplantae; Streptophyta; Magnoliopsida; Malvales; Malvaceae. The record is from RefSeq and is a predicted model, not a curated record.
UCUCUUUUUUUACUUAAUUUGGAUUUUUAAUUUUCUUUCUCAUGAUUGUUUUGUCGACAAAAAACAGAUUUGUGUUCUUCAACUAUGGUGGGUUUUGUCUGUUGAAAUUAGGGUUUUUUUGGGAUAAAUUUUGAAUUCUCCUGCAUUUUGAUUCUAUCUUGUAUCCUUCACAGUUGUCUGUUGAAAUAACUUCUAUUUGCUCUUUGCUCUUUGGUGUUUCAUGUCUGCUGCCUGAUUAAGUUACAUUCUGCUGCCUGAUUAAGUUACAUACUAGCUUCUAUUUGCUGUUUGGUGUUUCAUGUCUGCUGCCUGAUUAAGUUACAUCUAAUUACAUGUACAUGUAAUUUAAAACGUGGAAGAGAAAACCAGAAUAGUUCUCUUGAAAUGCUGUGUUUAUAUUUUAUUACAAGAAACAAUAACCAUUUAUGUGAGUCUGCCAAUUCUGUGAAGUGAAUGGCAACCACUGAAUUGAAAACACUUUGGGUUAAAAUGUCCAUAUACUUCUCCAGUUCUUAAACUUGAUUUUGAAAUAAAAAAUUAAACAACAUGAUUUUUAUAAUAAAACUUAUUCUUCACAGAAUUAAAUUCCUACUAUAAAAUUUUGAAAAAUACAACCACUAUAAAUUAAAUUUCCUACUUUGAAAUUUUCAAAAAUACAAUCACUAUAGACAUAUUUUAACCAACACUAUGUAAUCCUGAAGUGUUAACCCCCCACGCCAUGAUAAACACCAAAUCAUUCUUUUCAACUCAGAUUAAUUAAUUUGAAUCAUUGGUACAUCAACAAAACACACCAUACCACUGCAGAGCACUGGUGUAUACAUUUAUUUAAAAAAGAAAGUAAGAAAAACAGCAUCUUUGUGUUAUUACAUGUAGGAGCAUACGUGUGUGUGUAUAUAUAUAUUACAUCUUACUAUAUAAGACAUGUAAAAGGAGAUAGCAGUAGGUUGGUAGGUAGGGAAGGGUAGCUAAAUGAAGCAAGGUAGGCCUAGGCUGUGCCAGUAACGCCCAAGUCUUGGUUGUCAUCGUUGUUGGGAGAGGGAGAGCCAAAGAUAGGGCCACCUUCGCCAGUAGGAUCUUUCACCUUGUCCUCCAGCCUAUCAACCUGAAUGCUUAUAUUUGGUUGAAGAAAUUUGGGUGUAAAGAUACGGCUUAGAAGAGUAAGUCCCAAAGGUUUGAUAAAAGGAGGAAGAAAGUUUUCUGUGAAGAAGCAGAUAAAAAAGUGGAGUGUUUUGGAGAGCAAACCCUUUUUUUUCCUCAUUUAUUUCUCCAUUCAAACUUCAUGUGUGGUGAAGCCGUUAUAUAAUGAUAAAGUAUGAUUGAGUUUAUAAUGUCGUAAUUACAUGGUGGAUUUUAAUUUCUAAGCAAGAAGUUCUGUGGCUGAACUUUCUGUUUUGUCCUGCCCAAGCAAGGAGUUUUAAUUGUGAAAUGGUUUCUGAGGAUACUAUCCAUGCAUUAAAAAUGAACAGCUGAUUAAUAAUAUUGACAGUGGAGUUUUCUUUAGGAAUUAUUUGUCUUUUGAAGCCUCUGAUCUAUUGCAUUCUCAUUUUUUGGUGUUUCUGUUUCAUUAGAUCAAUUCAUUUUAUACAACUUUUCUUGCUUUUGUUUGAAUAUUUGUUUUAUGCUGUUUUUCUUUUCUUGGAUUUUAAUUUUGAUCUAAAGUCACUUGAUUUUUGGAUUUUAGUUUUGAUCUGAAGUUACUUAAAAUGUAGCAUCUAUAAUCUUCAAGAUGUUCGAUUUUCAGUAUAUCUGGGUCUUAUUAUGGCUUGUUUGUCGAGGAAUUCUAAUGUGUGGUUUUGGAUAUAGGUUUAGAGGACAGCGUUUUACAUGUGGAGUAGUGUAUAAUCUAUCAUAUGUAACAAUUGAGUGGUCUGCACAACAGAUUGCGGAAGCAUGGGGAGUAGCUGAGAGGUUGGAGUCCGCUUGCUUCUGGAGUGCUUACUGGAAAAUACAACAAAGGAAAUAGACCACCUGACAGUCGGUUUGCUUUGGAAAAUUUCAAAUUAUGGCUCGUCUGCCUUUAAUUGCACAACGUGAGAGGCGUAAAAGAAUUGGUAUUGCUGUGACAAUAUGGUUGGAAAUCUGUAGAAUUGCGAUUUGGUUCUUAUUUAGAAUGGGUGCCAGCCUUAGCCUACAUACUUAUAGACCAAGGAUUAUGUCCUAUACCUUAGAUUUUUAUGCAAAACGGGAUUAUGUGAAAAGGCUUGUAUAUGCUAGUGACGAGACCUGUAUUGAACAAGUUAGGAUGAAUAAAUCUGCCUUUUUUUAACUAUGUGAGAUGUUAGAAUCGAUAGGGGGAUUGAAGUCGUCAAGAAACAUGCUUGUUGAUGAGCAAGUAGCAAUGUUUUUACAUAUCAUCUCCCAUCCCCUGAAAAAUCGAGUUAUCAAGCAUCACUUUAGAAGGUCCGGGGAAACUGUAAGCAGAGCAUUUCAUAGUGUUUUAAAUGCCAUCAUACGCUUACAAGAUGUCUUAUUUAAAAAGCCGGAACCAAUUACAGCCGAUUAUUCUGACACAAGGUGGAAAUGGUUUAAGGUAUUAGACUGAGUUUUAUAUAUAACUUGUACAACAUUUAGUUGACUUAGAUUUAAAUUAGUAUUCUAACUCAAGGUUUUAUAUCAU